GACGGAGGAUGCAAGCGUUAUCCGGAAUGAUUGGGCGUAAAGCGUCCGCAGGUGGCAGUUCAAGUCUGCUGUCAAAGACCGGGGCUUAACUUCGGAAAGGCAGUGGAAACUGAACAGCUAGAGUAUGGUAGGGGCAGAGGGAAUUCCUGGUGUAGCGGUGAAAUGCGUAGAUAUCGGAAGGAACAUCAGUGGCGAAAGCGACUUCCUGGAUCAAUACUGACGCUCAUGUGCGAAAGCGUGGGGAGCAAACAGG
This 253-nucleotide ribosomal RNA is filed under the name uncultured bacterium. Its description in RNAcentral is "partial 16S ribosomal RNA". It matches the Rfam family "Bacterial small subunit ribosomal RNA", at positions 524 to 776 of the family's 1533-position model. The record is from RNAcentral.